GGUGAAAAGCACCCCGGAAGGGGAGUGAAAUAGAACCUGAAACCGUGUGCUUACAAGUAGUCAGAGCCCGUUAAUGGGUGAUGGCGUGCCUUUUGUAGAAUGAACCGGCGAGUUACGAUUUGAUGCAAGGUUAAGCAGUAAAUGUGGAGCCGUAGCGAAAGCGAGUCUGAAUAGGGCGUUUAGUAUUUGGUCGUAGACCCGAAACCAGGUGAUCUACCCUUGGUCAGGUUGAAGUUCAGGUAACACUGAAUGGAGGACCGAACCGACUUACGUUGAAAAGUGAGCGGAUGAACUGAGGGUAGCGGAGAAAUUCCAAUCGAACCUGGAGAUAGCUGGUUCUCUCCGAAAUAGCUUUAGGGCUAGCCUCAAGUGAUGAUUAUUGGAGGUAGAGCACUGUUUGGACGAGGGGCCCCUCUCGGGUUACCGAAUUCAGACAAACUCCGAAUGCCAAUUAAUUUAACUUGGGAGUCAGAACAUGGGUGAUAAGGUCCGUGUUCGAAAGGGAAACAGCCCAGACCACCAGCUAAGGUCCCAAAAUAUAUGUUAAGUGGAAAAGGAUGUGGCGUUGCCCAGACAACUAGGAUGUUGGCUUAGAAGCAGCCAUCAUUUAAAGAGUGCGUAAUAGCUCACUAGUCGAGUGACACUGCGCCGAAAAUGUACCGGGGCUAAACAUAUUACCGAAGCUGUGGAUUGUCCUUUGGACAAUGGUAGGAGAGCGUUCUAAGGGCGUUGAAGCAUGAUCGUAAGGACAUGUGGAGCGCUUAGAAGUGAGAAUGCCGGUGUGAGUAGCGAAAGACGGGUGAGAAUCCCGUCCACCGAUUGACUAAGGUUUCCAGAGGAAGGCUCGUCCGCUCUGGGUUAGUCGGGUCCUAAGCUGAGGCCGACAGGCGUAGGCGAUGGAUAACAGGUUGAUAUUCCUGUACCACCUAUAAUCGUUUUAAUCGAUGGGGGGACGCAGUAGGAUAGGCGAAGCGUGCGAUUGGAUUGCACGUCUAAGCAGUAAGGCUGAGUAUUAGGCAAAUCCGGUACUCAUUAAGGCUGAGCUGUGAUGGGGAGAAGACAUUGUGUCUUCGAGUCGUUGAUUUCACACUGCCGAGAAAAGCCUCUAGAUAGAAAAUAGGUGCCCGUACCGCAAACCGACACAGGUAGUCAAGAUGAGAAUUCUAAGGUGAGCGAGCGAACUCUCGUUAAGGAACUCGGCAAAAUGACCCCGUAACUUCGGGAGAAGGGGUGCUCUUUAGGGUUAACGCCCAGAAGAGCCGCAGUGAAUAGGCCCAAGCGACUGUUUAUCAAAAACACAGGUCUCUGCUAAACCGUAAGGUGAUGUAUAGGGGCUGACGCCUGCCCGGUGCUGGAAGGUUAAGAGGAGUGGUUAGCUUCUGCGAAGCUACGAAUCGAAGCCCCAGUAAACGGCGGCCGUAACUAUAACGGUCCUAAGGUAGCGAAAUUCCUUGUCGGGUAAGUUCCGACCCGCACGAAAGGCGUAACGAUUUGGGCACUGUCUCAACGAGAGACUCGGUGAAAUCAUAGUACCUGUGAAGAUGCAGGUUACCCGCGACAGGACGGAAAGACCCCGUGGAGCUUUACUGUAGCCUGAUAUUGAAAUUCGGCACAGCUUGUACAGGAUAGGUAGGAGCCUUUGAAACGUGAGCGCUAGCUUACGUGGAGGCGCUGGUGGGAUACUACCCUAGCUGUGUUGGCUUUCUAACCCGCACCACUUAUCGUGGUGGGAGACAGUGUCAGGCGGGCAGUUUGACUGGGGCGGUCGCCUCCUAAAAGGUAACGGAGGCGCUCAAAGGUUCCCUCAGAAUGGUUGGAAAUCAUUCAUAGAGUGUAAAGGCAUAAGGGAGCUUGACUGCGAGACCUACAAGUCGAGCAGGGUCGAAAGACGGACUUAGUGAUCCGGUGGUUCCGCAUGGAAGGGCCAUCGCUCAACGGAUAAAAGCUACCCCGGGGAUAACAGGCUUAUCUCCCCCAAGAGUUCACAUCGACGGGGAGGUUUGGCACCUCGAUGUCGGCUCAUCGCAUCCUGGGGCUGUAGUCGGUCCCAAGGGUUGGGCUGUUCGCCCAUUAAAGCGGUACGCGAGCUGGGUUCAGAACGUCGUGAGACAGUUCGGUCCCUAUCCGUCGUGGGCGUAGGAAAUUUGAGAGGAGCUGUCCUUAGUACGAGAGGACCGGGAUGGACAUACCUCUGGUGUACCAGUUGUCGUGCCAACGGCAUAGCUGGGUAGCUAUGUGUGGACGGGAUAAGUGCUGAAAGCAUCUAAGCAUGAAGCCCCCCUCAAGAUGAGAUUUCCCAACUUCGGUUAUAAGAUCCCUCAAAGAUGAUGAGGUUAAUAGGUUCGAGGUGGAAGCAUGGUGACAUG
Molecule: ribosomal RNA, 2366 nt
Filed under: Staphylococcus aureus
Lineage: Bacteria; Bacillati; Bacillota; Bacilli; Caryophanales; Staphylococcaceae
Description: partial 23S ribosomal RNA
Rfam family: Bacterial large subunit ribosomal RNA
Source: RNAcentral